GCUGGCAUAGCUCAGUUGGUAGAGCUACUGAUUUGUAAUCAGCAGGUCGGAGGUUCGAGUCCCUCUGCCAGCUCCA
Molecule: transfer RNA, 76 nt
Filed under: Caudoviricetes sp.
Lineage: Duplodnaviria; Heunggongvirae; Uroviricota; Caudoviricetes
Description: tRNA-Thr
Rfam family: tRNA
About the family: Transfer RNA (tRNA) molecules are approximately 80 nucleotides in length. Their secondary structure includes four short double-helical elements and three loops (D, anti-codon, and T loops).
Source: RNAcentral